Stylophora pistillata is the source of this 1016-nucleotide long non-coding RNA. RefSeq lists it as uncharacterized. NCBI's taxonomy places the organism in Eukaryota, Metazoa, Cnidaria, Anthozoa, Scleractinia, Pocilloporidae. The record is from RefSeq and is a predicted model, not a curated record.
GUCGUAUCCAUUUCCAACUGCUGGAAUUUAAUUUAUUAAUAGUUCGACGACAAGAAUGCACGCGAUGGCAAAGAGCGUUCCCCUUCAGUUGUUCAUUACUGUAUGGAAACGACGCGGGAACUCUGGUGAAACAUAAUCAAAGCCAGACCCCCACAGAUGCAGUCAUUACACAUCCUACGGUGAAGACAAGUUUUGGGGGAACCUGCUCAAGUGACUGAUGAUCGUAAAACAACUGAUCCUCUCAUUUGGAGUUCAAGUACAAUACCCUUCUUUGUUCCGGCAAACCUUUUGAAUGCAAAUGAAGGAAAUUUUGCUAAUCGUUUGGGCAGACGAAAAAAAGAGGAAGAAGUGGUGGACAGGGAACACAAAACCUUGAAGCUAUGUGACGAUUUACGAUGGAGAAUGGGACAACAAUAACAGCAGGGAAUACUAACACGUUUAGAGCAAACAUUUGGUUUAAUACAACUUGAGGAAAGAUUACAAUAUUUCGGGUCUAUUAUAGAGUCUGAGUGGUUAUGUAAUCACAAUCGAAACAAGUUUCAUGGAAAGUUUGCAAGCCAAGGCUUGUUUCGAUUGUAAUUUCAUUACUAUACGCCUGGCAGGGAUGAACAUGACUUCGAUGGCUGAACAGAAAACUCAUCCAAACCUACAGUUUCGAUUUAUUAUAUUUCCUUUUUAAUAAAAGAAAAAGUUAAGAUCGACGAACUUGACAUUACAUUUUCAUGCGAUCAGUCCAUGAAACUGAACUUCGAACAAGCCCCAAAGACACGGUGUCCAUACACAGAGGGGAUAAAGACCUACGAGAGGUGAAAUUUAUUCAUGAGGGUCUUUAGAACGUCAUACAGAACGGGGCAAAAAUGUUUACUUUGUACUUUGUACUGUCUUAAGUUUGCAGAUUGUUCGUUAGACAAAUUACGUUUGUAAAAAUGUCCUUUUAUUGUCUUCACGAGAGUUCUCAGUUCUAUCAGUAUCAGUUUUGAAACAGUUAAAAUGAAUAAAUACAAAUUUUCGCCUUA